RNAcentral lists this ribosomal RNA (394 nucleotides) under uncultured bacterium. RNAcentral describes it as "partial 16S ribosomal RNA". It matches the Rfam family "Bacterial small subunit ribosomal RNA", at positions 338 to 730 of the family's 1533-position model. The record is from RNAcentral.
CCUACGGGUGGCAGCAGUGAGGAAUAUUGGUCAAUGGCCGGAAGGCUGAACCAGCCAUGCCGCGUGAAGGUCAGUGCCCUAUGGGCGUUAAACUUCUUUUGUGCGGGAGCAAUAAUGGUCACGUGUGGCCAGACGAGAGUACCGUACGAAUAAGCAUCGGCUAACUCCGUGCCAGCAGCCGCGGGAAUACGGGGGAUGCAAGCGUUAUCCGGGCUUAUUGGGGUUAAAGGGAGCGGAAAUGGGUUGAUUAGGCAGUUGGGAAAGUUGGGGGGUUAAACGUAUAAUUGCAGUUGAUACUGGGGGUCUUGAGUGGACGUGAGGUAGGCGGAAUGCGUGGUGUAGCGGUGAAAUGCUUAGAUAUCACGAAGAACUCCGAUUGCGAAGGCAGCUUACU